RNAcentral lists this ribosomal RNA (141 nucleotides) under Myrothecium sp. 14016. Its description in RNAcentral is "partial 18S ribosomal RNA". It matches the Rfam family "Eukaryotic small subunit ribosomal RNA", at positions 1693 to 1831 of the family's 1831-position model. The record is from RNAcentral. Lineage: Eukaryota; Fungi; Ascomycota; Sordariomycetes; Hypocreales; Stachybotryaceae.
AUGGCUCAGUGAGGCGUUCGGACUGGCCCAGAGAGGUGGGAAACUACCACUCAGGGCCGGAAAGUUCUCCAAACUCGGUCAUUUAGAGGAAGUAAAAGUCGUAACAAGGUCUCCGUUGGUGAACCAGCGGAGGGAUCAUUA